AUGCUACACUACCAGAACUGUCAGAAGCUCAACAUUGCAACGCAAUAUUUCAAGGACUUUUUGGGUCAAUCUGCUCCCUCCUUGCCAACGAUCCAGCUUUCCGCUUUGUACAUCACAGUCGACCUCUCGGAGCUUACGGACAGUUUCUCCUGGGCUGAAGUGGUGCAGGCCAUCACCAAGGCCCCAAACAACAAGAGCCCUGGGCCGGAUGGUUUCACGAAUGAGUUCUACAAGUCUUUCUUGCCUCUUCUGAAAAAUGAUCUGCUUGCCUUCCUGGCGGACUUCCACAACAACUCUCUGUCUCUCAAGGGGAUCAACACGGCAUAUAUUACUUUAUUGCCGAAGAAGGACACGCCUUUGGAAAUGCGAGACUACAGGCCCAUAUCGCUUGUGCACAGCGCACCAAAACUGGUUUCCAAAGUUUUGACAAACAGACUG
This 438-nucleotide ribosomal RNA is filed under the name Triticum aestivum (bread wheat). RNAcentral's name for it is "partial small subunit ribosomal RNA". The record is from RNAcentral. Lineage: Eukaryota; Viridiplantae; Streptophyta; Magnoliopsida; Poales; Poaceae.